ACCGAGGUGGCGGAAUGGUAGACGCACUGCUUUAAGGGGGCAGCGAGAGAGAUCUCGUAGGGGUUCGAGUCCCCUUCUCGGUACCA
Molecule: transfer RNA, 86 nt
Filed under: Candidatus Babeliales bacterium
Lineage: Bacteria; Candidatus Babeliae; Candidatus Babeliales
Description: tRNA-Leu
Rfam family: tRNA
About the family: Transfer RNA (tRNA) molecules are approximately 80 nucleotides in length. Their secondary structure includes four short double-helical elements and three loops (D, anti-codon, and T loops).
Source: RNAcentral